Dama dama (fallow deer) is the source of this 723-nucleotide long non-coding RNA. RefSeq lists it as uncharacterized. The record is from RefSeq and is a predicted model, not a curated record. The transcript is spliced from 3 exons. Lineage: Eukaryota; Metazoa; Chordata; Mammalia; Artiodactyla; Cervidae.
AUCACAGGCUGUUCUAAUGCUGCUCAAACAAUAUUGAGAAUAACCCCGGCUCAAUAGCACCAGUGUUAGGCUGCAAAGUCAAUAUUGGCUGAGCAAACAGGGUCAGUCUCAUGGACAAGAUUACUCACGAAGAAAAAAGGAAAGUGAAAGUUUUAGUCGUUCAGUUGUGUCCAGCUCUUUGCAACUCCAUGGACUGUAGCUCACCAGGCUCCUCUAUCCAUGGAAUUCUUCAGGCAAGAAUACUGGAGGCACUGGAGGCUGAGGCAGCGACGCCAUCCCUGAAGGUCAUCCUGCAGUUUCCAAAAUGGAUGGUUCUCAAGAUCGGGUCUGGAAGCUGUGUGGAACCUCCUGGAGGCUCGUGCUGACCCCUCAGCUGUGAGCAGGUGGGGGUGGCGCUGGCCGGGAAGCAUCUGCAAAGCUCACAUCGCCUGUGGGUCUGCCUCCAGUGCCUCCAGAGAAGAAAGUCCUCUCCCCUCCUUCACUUCCCAAAAAGCACAUGAGGAUAUCGUUGGCAGAGCAUCUCAUCAAGACCUGGUGCAGAAGGGGAACCUGGGAGCUCCCCAUUCCUGGGAGAGACUGUGCGGCAGGGUGGCAGGAGGUCUAAGUGAUAAUGGACAGUCCAGUGUGGCUGCUGCUGGGCAAGGCUGGGGUCUGAACUCAGAUCUCAGGCCUUCACAUCCUCUGCUUCAUUUCCCAAACCACGCUGACCCCUGUCCAACAUCC